UCCCUCGUUCAUACAUAGAUAGUGAAGGUCGUUCUAAAGUAGGUGGCGUUUCGGGGCCGUUCGUGCGCCGUUGCAGGGCCCACUAGAGGAGGAUGGUGGAGGAUUGUGUCGUGGGUGCAGGCGCAACAUUACCUGCUGCCGGAGUUGUUGGGCCAGACUGCGGAGACGUCUUGGCGCGCUUCCCCUGCCUCUGAUGAAGCCUGUGUUGUAAUGAUGCCAGAAGUGGAUGUUUUGUGCCUUAUGAGGGCGUCAUGUGGACAGUUACAUGCCAAAGGGGGAUGAGAGGGCUGCUGAGGUCCUUAAGAGGAAACCUCUAACAAUGUCUACACAGGCAUUGAACAAACCUGCAAUUUUAAAAUGGUGGAGUGGCUUGUUUGGACCAACCUAACAUACUAUUGGUUAACACGUUUUUAAAUCGUUGGAUGGCUUGCUUUUGGUGCAGAUUUUGGAAGCCAUUGAAAUUGAAGGUAUGAGGAGUCUGAAAACUGUAAUGCAUGGGGACAACAAGAAAUUACCAGACAAGGAAUAAGAAUGUACAUGUGGAAGAGUGCAGGUAGACUUCCUGUUCACCCUAUAAACUUGAAGGGCCUUUAUGAUGGCAGCAACCUUGUGGCUUAGCUUUUAGAAGGUACAGGAUGGAUGUUCAUGGGAUAGAAGAUGAAGCAUUAAAAUGUAAUAAAUUGCUACAAACCUGGAA
This is a long non-coding RNA of Tupaia belangeri chinensis (Chinese tree shrew), 697 nucleotides long. RefSeq lists it as uncharacterized. NCBI's taxonomy places the organism in Eukaryota, Metazoa, Chordata, Mammalia, Scandentia, Tupaiidae. The transcript has 13 exons. The record is from RefSeq and is a predicted model, not a curated record.